UCCGGAGAGGAUGCCUUAGAAACGGCAACCACAUCUAAGGAAGGCAGCAGGCGCGCAAAUUACCCACUCUCAAUUCGAGGAGGUAGUGACAACAACUAACGAGACUGCGUCCUAUGGGCGCAGUCAUCGAAAUGGGUACAAUUUAAACCCUUUAACGAGGAUCUAUGAGAGGGCAAGUCUGGUGCCAGCAGCCGCGGUAAUUCCAGCUCUCAAAGUGUAUGUCAUUAUUGCUGCGGUUAAAAAGCUCGUAGUUGGAUCUGAGCCCGUGGAUACAGUUCACCUCUGUGUGAUACUGUCAUCCUGGGUUAAUUUCGUCGGUCUUCCGGCGAGAGUUACUCUGAACAAAUCGGAGUGCUCAAAACAAGCGUUUCGCUUGAACGUUUUUGCAUGGAAUAAUGGAAAAGGACUUCGGUUCCUUACUGUUGGUUUCGGAAUUGGAUUAAUGAUUAAGAGGGACCAACGGGGGCAUACGUAUCGCUGCGCGAGAGGUGAAAUUCAUGGACCGCAGCGAGACGACCUACAGCGAAAGCAUUUGCCAAGAAUGUCUUCAUUAAUCAAGAACGAAAGUCAGAGGUUCGAAGGCGAUUAGAUACCGCCCUAGUU
Molecule: ribosomal RNA, 603 nt
Filed under: Distolabrellus veechi
Lineage: Eukaryota; Metazoa; Nematoda; Chromadorea; Rhabditida; Rhabditidae
Description: SSU rRNA
Rfam family: Eukaryotic small subunit ribosomal RNA
Source: RNAcentral